GCAGUGCCUAAACACCACAUUGGACAACAACAAAAAAGAUAUUAUUCUGGAUUCCUAUUCUUGGCUGUCACUUUUGAGUUCUCCAGUUCUCCAGGACAAGAAAAUCAAGGAAUUGAAGAGGUGAAGCUAUCCUGCUUUCUUUUAACUCCAUCAUCAUCCCCCACCCCCAGGAAGAGCUCACCCCCAAGAAACCUAUCAGCAAGGAGAUUUCAUCAUGUUUGAUGCUCACACCUCAUCGGAAUCCUUGGUUGCCUCUGCUCCUCUGAAUGAAAAGGAUAGGACCUGCCAGACCUUGGAUUCCUUUGGUGAAGCCUUUGAUAACCUAGAGGUAUCCCUAGGUCAAGAUGAAGCACCAUGAGGCAACAGUAUCAAGCUCAAGUAGAAAUAGGAUCUGCUAAUCUGUACUUAAGGAUGGAGGGGACACAUUGAAAACCAAUAGUUCCAGGUGCACUUGUAAACAUUGAGGACUGCCUACUUGAUACCUCUGAUUUAGAAUCUUCCCUUCUGCAAGGGUCUGUUCUUCUGUGGAAAUGAAAUCAAGCUGUGUGAACCGCGGGAAGAUAUCUUUGUACAGCAUGCACCACAUGGCUCCAAAACCCUGGCUUGCUGAUUGUUUCCUUAGGGCAGGGAAUGAUGGUGAAGAAAGCAAUUGGGAAUGCUCCCAGGGCAUUUCAACUGUAGCUACUAAAAGAAGAACAAAACCAAAA
Non-coding RNA from Phascolarctos cinereus (koala), 707 nucleotides. NCBI's taxonomy places the organism in Eukaryota, Metazoa, Chordata, Mammalia, Diprotodontia, Phascolarctidae. The record is from RefSeq and is a predicted model, not a curated record.